Dreissena polymorpha is the source of this 410-nucleotide long non-coding RNA. RefSeq lists it as uncharacterized. The transcript is spliced from 3 exons. The record is from RefSeq and is a predicted model, not a curated record. Lineage: Eukaryota; Metazoa; Mollusca; Bivalvia; Myida; Dreissenidae.
UGGAACAACCUUUAUUUUGAUAAAACAAUGCAUUUUUAAAAAAUUAAUAAUAACAAUGAAUUUUUAAUGUAAACUUUACUACAAAUCGCAAAAAAAGUUGAGUCGGCAGGGGUUAGUAGAAACAGUGACCUUUUUUAGGCCUAAUGUAUAACUAAAUAUGCUGAAAUGUAUUAAACAGGGCGAGGUCCAAUUGGCAGAACAUUGUCUGUCCUCACAGAGGCAGUAAUUGAUGUUAUUGGAAAGCAGAGUGCGGCAGUUGUUGGGGCAGCAGGAGCAGCAUAUGACUCAACAUUGGCCUCACUUAUGCUUCCUCAACAGUUUGACCUAUGUGACAGUGAAGAAAGAUCAUCAGUUUCGGAUGGUCCAAUCUUCAAUGUAAUGGAUCUUGUUCCAGUAAAACCUUCCCAAAG